RNAcentral lists this non-coding RNA (946 nucleotides) under Stenocercus roseiventris. RNAcentral describes it as "12S small subunit RNA". It matches the Rfam family "Bacterial small subunit ribosomal RNA". Lineage: Eukaryota; Metazoa; Chordata; Lepidosauria; Squamata; Tropiduridae. The record is from RNAcentral.
UAAAGUUUUGAUCCUAAACUUGCUGAUGUUUUUNAUCAAAAUUACACAUGUAAGUAUCCGCACACCAGUGAGAAUGCCCACCCAAGANACAACCAGAGCAGGUAUCAGGCACGAACGCUCAGCCCAAAACACCUUGCCACGCCACUCCCACACGGACAUUCAACAGUGAUUAAUAUUAAGCAAUGAGCGCACCCCCUCUAACCCAGCUCGACUUAGUUAUGAUUAUCAGGGCCGGUAAACCUCGUGCCAGCCACCGCGGUUAUACGAAGGGCCCAAAACAACAGCCAAUCGGCGUAAAUUGUGACUAGAAUACAACACCACGCAAGGACACCUAAACCACGGACACAGUCGUAAAACACUAUAAACCAAAUGGAACCACCUAUGUCCCCCCCCCGGCAAUUUGAAGCCACGAAACCUAAGAAACAAACUAGGAUUAGAUACCCUACUAUGCUUAAACGUAAAUAUGACCAUCAAAACAACCCAGGUCCGCCAGAGAAUUACAAGCAACAAGCUUAAAACUCAAAAGACUUGGCGGUGCCCCAUACCAACUUAGAGGAGCCUGUCCUAUAAUCGAUACUCCACGAUAAACCCAACCACUUUUUGCAAUCACAGCCUAUAUACCGCCGUCGCAAACUCACCUCACAAGAGACACACAGUGAGUAAAACAGUUAACAACUAACACGUCAGGUCAAGGUGUAGCUUACAAAGCGGCAGAGAUGGGCUACAUUCUUUUAAACAAGCACACCAAAAGUCCAAUGAAAAAAGCCCCAAAGGCGGAUUUAACAGUAAAAUUAGCAAGAAAACUAUUUUUAAGAUCGCUCUGGGGCGCGCACACACCGCCCGUCACCCUCCUCAACAACAUCAAUACACUACAUAAUCCAACACCCCACCACAAGAUGAGGCAAGUCGUAACAUGGUAAGCGCACUGGAAAGUGCGCUUAGACUA